UUCGGGUUAUCGACAGCUCC
Molecule: unclassified non-coding RNA, 20 nt
Filed under: Dictyostelium discoideum
Lineage: Eukaryota; Evosea; Eumycetozoa; Dictyosteliales; Dictyosteliaceae
Source: RNAcentral